This 1481-nucleotide ribosomal RNA is filed under the name metagenome. RNAcentral describes it as "bacterial SSU rRNA". It matches the Rfam family "Bacterial small subunit ribosomal RNA". The record is from RNAcentral.
AGAGUUUGAUUCUGGCUCAGGAUGAACGCUAGCGGCAGGCCUAAUACAUGCAAGUCGAGGGGCAGCAGGGGUAGCGAUACUCGCUGGCGACCGGCGCACGGGUGCGUAACACGUAUGCAACUUUCCUUCAACUGGAAGAUAGCCCGAAGAAAUUCGGAUUAAUAUUCCAUAGUUAUAUGAAAUGGCAUCAUUUUAUAUUUAAAGCUCAGGCGGUUGAAGAUGGGCAUGCGUUCGAUUAGCUAGUUGGUGAGGUAAUGGCUCACCAAGGCUACGAUCGAUAGGGGAUCUGAGAGGAUUAACCCCCACACUGGUACUGAGACACGGACCAGACUCCUACGGGAGGCAGCAGUAAGGAAUAUUGGACAAUGGAGGCAACUCUGAUCCAGCCAUGCCGCGUGAAGGAUGAAGGUCCUAUGGAUUGUAAACUUCUUUUGAACGGGAGAAAACCUUCGGUCGUGUACCGAAGCUGAUAGUACCGUUAGAAUAAGGGUCGGCUAACUUCGUGCCAGCAGCCGCGGUAAUACGAAGGACCCGAGCGUUAUCCGGAUUUAUUGGGUUUAAAGGGUGCGUAGGCGGAAUGGUAAGUCAGUGGUGAAAUCUUGUGGCUUAACUGCAAAACUGCCAUUGAUACUGCCAAUCUUGAGUACAUUUGAUGUGGGCGGAAUGUGCCAUGUAGUGGUGAAAUACUUAGAUAUGGCACAGAACACCGAUCGCGAAGGCAGCUCACAAAACUGUUACUGACGCUGAGGCACGAAAGCGUGGGGAUCAAACAGGAUUAGAUACCCUGGUAGUCCACGCCUUAAACUAUGAUUACUCGAUGUGUGCGAUACACAGUACGCGUCUAAGCGAAAGCGUUAAGUAAUCCACCUGGGGAGUACGGUCGCAAGAUUGAAACUCAAAGAAAUUGACGGGGGCCCGCACAAGCGGAGGAGCAUGUGGUUUAAUUCGAUGAUACGCGAGGAACCUUACCUGGGCUUGAAAGUUAGUGAAUGCUGUGGAAACAUGGCAGGCCGCAAGGACACGAAACUAGGUGCUGCAUGGCUGUCGUCAGCUCGUGCCGUGAGGUGUUGGGUUAAGUCCCGCAACGAGCGCAACCCCUAUCUUUAGUUGCCAGCGAGUAAUGUCGGGGACUCUAAAGAAACUGCCGUGCAAACGGUGAGGAAGGUGGGGAUGACGUCAAGUCAGCACGGCCCUUACGUCCAGGGCUACACACGUGCUACAAUGGCGAGUACAAAGGGCAGCUACAUGGUGACAUGAUGCUAAUCUCUAAAACUCGUCUCAGUUCGGAUUGAAGUCUGCAAUUCGACUUCAUGAAGCUGGAUUCGCUAGUAAUCGAAUAUCAGCAAUGAUUCGGUGAAUACGUUCCCGGGCCUCGUACACACCGCCCGUCAAACAAUGGAAGCUGAGGGUACUUAAAGUCGAUAACCGCAAGGAGUCGCCUAGGGUAAAAUCGGUAACUGGUGUUAAGUCGAAACAAGGUA